Molecule: ribosomal RNA, 1494 nt
Filed under: uncultured Bordetella sp.
Lineage: Bacteria; Pseudomonadati; Pseudomonadota; Betaproteobacteria; Burkholderiales; Alcaligenaceae
Description: partial 16S-23S ribosomal RNA intergenic spacer
Rfam family: Bacterial small subunit ribosomal RNA
Source: RNAcentral
AGUUUGAUUAUGAAGCCAGAUUGAACGCUGGCGGGAUGCUUUACACAUGCAAGUCGAACGGCAGCACGGACUUCGGUCUGGUGGCGAGUGGCGAACGGGUGAGUAAUGUAUCGGGCAGUGCCUAGUAGCGGGGGAUAACUACGCGAAAGCGUAGCUAAUACCGCAUACGCCCUUCGGGGAAAGCGGGGACCUUCGGGCCUCGCACUAUUAGAGCGGCCGAUAUCGGAUUAGCUAGUUGGUGGGAGGUAACGGCUCAUCAAGGCGACGAUCCGUAGCUGGUUUGAGAGGACGACCAGCCACACUGGGACGGCAGAACUGGCCAGACUCCUACCAGGGAGGCAGCAGUGGGAAUUUUGGACAAUGGGAAACCCUGAUCCAGCCAUCACGGCUGUGCGAUGAAGGCCUUCGGGUUGUAAGCACUUUGGCAGGAAAAAACGGCACGGGAUAAUACCCCGUGCAACUGACGUACCUGCAGAAUAAGCACCGGCUAACUACGUGCCAGCAGCCGCGGUAAUACGUAGGGUGCAAGCGUUAAUCGGAAUUGCGGGCGUAAAGCGUGCGCAGGCGGUUCAGGAAAGAGAAAGAUGUAAAAAUCCAGAGCUUAACUUUGGAACUGCAUUUUUAACUACCGAGCUAGAGUGUGUCAGAGAGGAGGUGGAAUUCCCGCGUGUAGCAGUGAAAUGCGUAGAUAUGCGGAGGAACACCGAUGGCGAAGGCAGCCUCCUGAGAGUAGCUGCUGACGCUCAUGCACGAAAGCGUGGGGAGCAAACGGGAUUAGAUACCCUGGUAGUCCACGCCCUAAACGAUGUCAACUAGCUGUUGGGGCCUUCCGGGCCUUGGUAGCUGGCGCUAACGUACGAGUUGACUGCCCUGGGGAAGUACGGUCGCAAGAUUAAAACUCAAAGAAGAUUUGACGGGGACCCGCACAAGCGGUGGAUGAUGUGGAUUAAUUCGAUGCAACGCGAAAAACCUUACCUACCACUCCGUAUGUCUGGAAUCCGAAGAGAUUUGGGAGUGCUCGCAAGAGAACCGGAACACAGGUGCUGCAUGGCUGUCGUCAGCUCGUGUCGUGAGAUGUUGGGUUAAGUCCCGCAACGAGCGCAACCCUUGUCGUGAUUUGCUACGAAAGGGCAUAAUGAGACUGCCGGUGACAAACCGGAGGAAGGUGGGGAUGACGUCAAGUCCUCAUGGCCCUUAUGGGUAGGGGCUUCACACGUCAUACAAUGGUCGGGACAGGAGGUGCUUCAACCCGCGAGGGGGAGCCAAUCCAGAAACCCGAUCCGUAGUCCGGAUCACAGUCUGCAACUCGACUGCGUGAAGUCGGAAUCGCUAGUAAUCGCGGAUCAGCGUAAAUGGCAGUGAACAGACCGGGUCUUACACACCACUUCAGCUCCACACCAUGGGAGUGGGUUUACCCGAAGUAGUUAAGCUAACCGUAAGGAGGGCGAUUACCACGGUAGGAUUCAUGACUGGGGUGAAGUCGUAACAAGGUAA